GCGUGUAAGCAGAAGGGGCAGGGAUCUCUCAGGCAGCAGGGUGCCUCCCUUCCCAUCGGAGCAGCCCCAAUCCCAUUCCUACUUACGUGUAAGCAGGAGGGGAGCCCUCAGCUGGGAAGGGAGGUUUCCCGCUGCCUAACUGAGAGAUCCCUGCCCCCUCCUGCUUGCACGC
Podarcis lilfordi (Lilford's wall lizard) is the source of this 172-nucleotide non-coding RNA. Lineage: Eukaryota; Metazoa; Chordata; Lepidosauria; Squamata; Lacertidae. The record is from the annotation of a GenBank genome assembly.